AUUGAACGCUGGCGGCAGGCUUAACACAUGCAAGUCGAACGAUGAUUAUCUAGCUUGCUAGAUAUGAUUAGUGGCGGACGGGUGAGUAACAUUUAGGAAUCUGCCUAGUAGUGGGGGAUAGCUCGGGGAAACUCGAAUUAAUACCGCAUACGACCUACGGGUGAAAGGGGGCGCAAGCUCUUGCUAUUAGAUGAGCCUAAAUCAGAUUAGCUAGUUGGUGGGGUAAAGGCCCACCAAGGCGACGAUCUGUAACUGGUCUGAGAGGAUGAUCAGUCACACCGGAACUGAGACACGGUCCGGACUCCUACGGGAGGCAGCAGUGGGGAAUAUUGGACAAUGGGGGCAACCCUGAUCCAGCCAUGCCGCGUGUGUGAAGAAGGCCUUUUGGUUGUAAAGCACUUUAAGCAGGGAGGAGAGGCUAAUGGUUAAUACCCAUUAGAUUAGACGUUACCUGCAGAAUAAGCACCGGCUAACUCUGUGCCAGCAGCCGCGGUAAUACAGAGGGUGCGAGCGUUAAUCGGAAUUACUGGGCGUAAAGCGAGUGUAGGUGGCUCAUUAAGUCACAUGUGAAAUCCCCGGGCUUAACCUGGGAACUGCAUGUGAUACUGGUGGUGCUAGAAUAUGUGAGAGGGAAGUAGAAUUCCAGGUGUAGCGGUGAAAUGCGUAGAGAUCUGGAGGAAUACCGAUGGCGAAGGCAGCUUCCUGGCACAAUAUUGACACUGAGAUUCGAAAGCGUGGGUAGCAAACAGGAUUAGAUACCCUGGUAGUCCACGCCGUAAACGAUGUCUACUAGCCGUUGGGGUCCUUGAGACUUUAGUGGCGCAGUUAACGCGAUAAGUAGACCGCCUGGGGAGUACGGCCGCAAGGUUAAAACUCAAAUGAAUUGACGGGGGCCCGCACAAGCGGUGGAGCAUGUGGUUUAAUUCGAUGCAACGCGAAGAACCUUACCUGGUCUUGACAUAGUGAGAAUCCUGCAGAGAUGCGGGAGUGCCUUCGGGAAUUCACAUACAGGUGCUGCAUGGCUGUCGUCAGCUCGUGUCGUGAGAUGUUGGGUUAAGUCCCGCAACGAGCGCAACCCUUUUCCUUAUUUGCCAGCGGGUUAAGCCGGGAACUUUAAGGAUACUGCCAGUGACAAACUGGAGGAAGGCGGGGACGACGUCAAGUCAUCAUGGCCCUUACGACCAGGGCUACACACGUGCUACAAUGGUAGGUACAGAGGGUUGCUACACAGCGAUGUGAUGCUAAUCUCAAAAAGCCUAUCGUAGUCCGGAUUGGAGUCUGCAACUCGACUCCAUGAAGUCGGAAUCGCUAGUAAUCGCAGAUCAGAAUGCUACGGUGAAUACGUUCCCGGGCCU
This 1355-nucleotide ribosomal RNA is filed under the name uncultured bacterium. Its description in RNAcentral is "bacterial SSU rRNA". It matches the Rfam family "Bacterial small subunit ribosomal RNA", at positions 28 to 1381 of the family's 1533-position model. The record is from RNAcentral.